AGGACUGCUUGUAACUGAACGCAAGAAAUGGAGCUAGAAUGAUUCCUUGCCUACAAUAAAAUACAAAAUGGGCUAUUUACUAAAAGGAGAAUUGUUGAGAAUUCAAAGUAUGGAUAUAUGGACGCAUCAAUAGUUUGACCCUUUUAAAAAAUUUUUUUAAAGACAAAGCGAUGAUCUGUAACAUUCCAUUGGUUUUCAGUGUGGGUUACAUCUUUUGGCAAAGGGUCAGCUCUCUUCCUGUAAAGAGAGAUCUAAUGUUUAAACCUCUUUAAUUGCACAGUCUAUUUAAUUUAGAAUGUAUCUCCUGUUCUGUUAAUAGACUUCUAGACAGCAACAACGUCCUGAAUGAUUAAAGUUAAAUUUUCAGAGUAGGAGAUAACUUCUAAAGCCUCUCUGAUAUUGACUUCUAGUGGCAUAGGCUGAUUAAUCGCUAGUGACAUAAUUUGUGUAUUCUUGGCAAUCACUUUAUCAGCAUUUUCUUAUAUUUAGUUUUUUUCACUGUUCGUACCCAGUGGCACUUUAGUUUAUUUUGGCGGCUUUGAUUUAGCCUGUUCCAAUUAACCUAAAAGAUGCAGAUGUAUAUUGCUUCACUCAUGUGUGUCUACAUUUACCACAAUUACUAGCCGCUUAUAGCUGGCGUACUCUGUGAGCACCUAGUAUGACCUUAUUCUGUGUUUAACUUGGCACGCCGCAUGAUAUGUAUGUCUUUGGCUACUAUGUCAUUGCCAUGCUUUGCUUUUAACACCUGCACAACAAAAAUAAAGAAUUAAAACAAAAC
Molecule: non-coding RNA, 778 nt
Organism: Pelobates cultripes (western spadefoot toad)
Lineage: Eukaryota; Metazoa; Chordata; Amphibia; Anura; Pelobatidae
Source: the annotation of a GenBank genome assembly